RNAcentral lists this ribosomal RNA (484 nucleotides) under uncultured bacterium. Its description in RNAcentral is "partial 16S ribosomal RNA". It matches the Rfam family "Bacterial small subunit ribosomal RNA", at positions 30 to 507 of the family's 1533-position model. The record is from RNAcentral.
AUUGAACGCUGGCGGCAGGCCUAACACAUGCAAGUCGAGCGGAUGAAGGGAGCUUGCUCCUGGAUUCAGCGGCGGACGGGUGAGUAAUGCCUAGGAAUCUGCCUGGUAGUGGGGGAUAACGUCCGGAAACGGGCGCUAAUACCGCAUACGUCCUGAGGGAGAAAGUGGGGGAUCUUCGGACCUCUCGGUCUCAGAUGAGCCUAGGUGGGAUUAGCUAGUUGGUGGGGUAAAGGCCUACCAAGGCGGCGAUCCGUAACUGGUCUGAGAGGAUGAUCGGUCACACUGGAACUGAGACACGGUCCAGACUCCUACGGGAGGCAGCAGUGGGGAAUAUUGGACAAUGGGCGAAAGCCUGAUCCAGCCAUGCCGCGUGUGUGAAGAAGGUCUUCGGAUUGUAAAGCACUUUAAGUUGGGAGGAAGGGCAGUAAGUUAAUACCUUGCUGUUUUGACGUUACCAACAGAAUAAGCACCGGCUAACUUCGUG